GCCGGGCGUGGUGGCUCACGCCUGUAAUCCCAGCACUUUGGGAGGCUGAGGUGGGUGGAUCACUUGAGGUCGGGAGAUCGAGACCAGCCUGACCAACAUGGAGAAACCCCAUCUCUA
RNAcentral lists this non-coding RNA (117 nucleotides) under Homo sapiens (human). The record is from Rfam by way of RNAcentral. Lineage: Eukaryota; Metazoa; Chordata; Mammalia; Primates; Hominidae.